Molecule: long non-coding RNA, 303 nt
Filed under: Homo sapiens (human)
Lineage: Eukaryota; Metazoa; Chordata; Mammalia; Primates; Hominidae
Description: LHRI_LNC202.1
Source: RNAcentral
AGGAGAUUGGGAGGCCCAGGCAGGUGGAUGGCUUGAGCUCAGGAGUUUGAAACCAGCUUGGGCAACAUGGCGAAACUCCAUCUCUACAAAAAAAAUACAAAAAUUAGCUGGGCAUGAUGGUGUGCAUCUGUAGUUCCAGCUUCUUGGGAGGCUGGGAUGAGAGGAUCACUUAAGCCUGGGAGGUCGAGGCUGUAGUGAGCUGAGAUCACACCACUGAACUUCAGCCUGGGCGACAGAGUGAGACAGCCAAAAUAGGGGGAAAAAAAAAAGGUGGAGGACAGAGGCAUCCUAAGGUGAUGGGAC